AUUGAACGCUGGCGGAAUGCUUUACACAUGCAAGUCGAACGGUAGAGGGGGCAACCCCUCGAGAGUGGCGAACGGGUGAGUAAUAUAUCGGAACGUGCCCAGUCGUGGGGGAUAACGUAGCGAAAGUUACGCUAAUACCGCAUACGAUCUAAGGAUGAAAGCGGGGGAUCGCAAGACCUCGCGUGAUUGGAGCGGCCGAUAUCAGAUUAGGUAGUUGGUGGGGUAAAGGCUCACCAAGCCAACGAUCUGUAGCUGGUCUGAGAGGACGACCAGCCACACUGGAACUGAGACACGGUCCAGACUCCUACGGGAGGCAGCAGUGGGGAAUUUUGGACAAUGGACGCAAGUCUGAUCCAGCCAUUCCGCGUGCAGGAUGAAGGCCCUCGGGUUGUAAACUGCUUUUGUACGGAACGAAAAGGUCUCUCUUAAUACGGGGGGCCCAUGGCGGUACCGUAAGAAUAAGCACCGGCUAACUACGUGCCAGCCGCCGCGGUAA
RNAcentral lists this ribosomal RNA (496 nucleotides) under uncultured bacterium. RNAcentral's name for it is "partial 16S ribosomal RNA". It matches the Rfam family "Bacterial small subunit ribosomal RNA", at positions 30 to 523 of the family's 1533-position model. The record is from RNAcentral.